ACGGCAGCACGGAGCUUGCUCUGGUGGCGAGUGGCGAACGGGUGAGUAAUAUAUCGGAACGUACCCUAGAGUGGGGGAUAACGUAGCGAAAGUUACGCUAAUACCGCAUACGAUCUAAGGAUGAAAGUGGGGGAUCGCAAGACCUCAUGCUCGUGGAGCGGCCGAUAUCUGAUUAGCUAGUUGGUAGGGUAAAAGCCUACCAAGGCAUCGAUCAGUAGCUGGUCUGAGAGGACGACCAGCCACACUGGAACUGAGACACGGUCCAGACUCCUACGGGAGGCAGCAGUGGGGAAUUUUGGACAAUGGGCGAAAGCCUGAUCCAGCAAUGCCGCGUGAGUGAAGAAGGCCUUCGGGUUGUAAAGCUCUUUUGUCAGGGAAGAAACGGUGAAAGCUAAUAUCUUUUGCUAAUGACGGUACCUGAAGAAUAAGCACCGGCUAACUACGUGCCAGCAGCCGCGGUAAUACGUAGGGUGCAAGCGUUAAUCGGAAUUACUGGGCGUAAAGCGUGCGCAGGCGGUUUUGUAAGUCUGAUGUGAAAUCCCCGGGCUCAACCUGGGAAUUGCAUUGGAGACUGCAAGGCUAGAAUCUGGCAG
This 593-nucleotide ribosomal RNA is filed under the name Janthinobacterium sp. sa1. RNAcentral's name for it is "bacterial SSU rRNA". It matches the Rfam family "Bacterial small subunit ribosomal RNA", at positions 66 to 654 of the family's 1533-position model. The record is from RNAcentral. Lineage: Bacteria; Pseudomonadati; Pseudomonadota; Betaproteobacteria; Burkholderiales; Oxalobacteraceae.